This 968-nucleotide ribosomal RNA is filed under the name Brachymeria sp. D1831. RNAcentral's name for it is "eukaryotic LSU rRNA". It matches the Rfam family "Eukaryotic large subunit ribosomal RNA", at positions 266 to 966 of the family's 3401-position model. The record is from RNAcentral. Lineage: Eukaryota; Metazoa; Arthropoda; Insecta; Hymenoptera; Chalcididae.
CGGGUUGCUUGAGAGUGCAGCUCUAAGUUGGUGGUAAACUCCAUCUAAGGCUAAAUAUGACCACGAGACCGAUAGCGAACAAGUACCGUGAGGGAAAGUUGAAAAGAACUUUGAAGAGAGAGUUNAAGAGUACGUGAAACCGUUCAGGGGUAAACCUGUGAAACCCAAAAGAUCGAAUGGGGAGAUUCAUCGCCAGCGGCGUGGGCUUCCUUGUGGUUUGCGAUGUUCGGGGCUUCGGCUUCGGGUCACGCUUUCGCUGUCGGUAUCUCCUGCGCUGUGGGCGUGCACUUUUCCCCUAGUAGAACGUCGCGACCCGUUGGGUGCUGGCCUACAGCCAGGUUUGGUCAACUGUCGCGUCGCGUUCACGCGCGUACCGGGCAGACCGUCGGUUUGCCUGUCCUGCUGCCCGGCGGUAUAGAUAGCUAUAAAAUUGGUAUUAGGCCGCAUUAACUGCGUUCAGGCACGUCGGCAUGCCGCGUCUCGCUCGGAUUGACGGACCUAGUCCCGUUGCCAGGUGCUUGACGUGAUCAUUCGUCGACGAUGUCCUCGGACUGGCUCUUACAUUCGAACGGAUAUACCGGUCGGCGACGCUACUGCUUUGGGUACUUUCAGGACCCGUCUUGAAACACGGACCAAGGAGUCUAACAUGUGCGGGAGUCAUUGGGACUUGUUAUAAGCCUAAAGGCGUAAUGAAAGUGAAGGUCGGCCCUAGCGUCGACCGAGGGAGGAUGGCUCGCGUCACGAUGCGAGUCCGCACUCCCGGGGCGUCUCGUGCUCAUUGCGAGCAGAGGCGCACCUAGAGCGUACACGUUGGGACCCGAAAGAUGGUGAACUAUGCCUGGUCAGGACGAAGUCAGGGGAAACCCUGAUGGAGGUCCGUAGCGAUUCUGACGUGCAAAUCGAUCGUCGGAACUGGGUAUAGGGGCGAAAGACUAAUCGAACCAUCUAGUAGCUGGUUCCCUCCGAAG